AUCAAAAAAGCGAAAUUUCGCACCAAGUUUCGACCUUGGCUUUCGGUUACCGUUUUGAUA
RNAcentral lists this transfer RNA (60 nucleotides) under Physa fontinalis. RNAcentral's name for it is "tRNA-Arg". Lineage: Eukaryota; Metazoa; Mollusca; Gastropoda; Physidae. The record is from RNAcentral.